RNAcentral lists this long non-coding RNA (477 nucleotides) under Sarcophilus harrisii (Tasmanian devil). RNAcentral describes it as "lncRNA (ENSSHAG00000024131.1)". The record is from RNAcentral. Lineage: Eukaryota; Metazoa; Chordata; Mammalia; Dasyuromorphia; Dasyuridae.
GAGUGGUAACUUGACAUUUUCUAUUCAUGAUUCAUAUGAUCAACCUCUAUUGAGCCUUUAUUAGGCAAUAAGGAUACACGUUUUAAAAAAUGAGAUAGACCUCAUCUUCAAGGAUCUUACAUUCUGCUGAGGAUAUAAAACAGAUUCUCAGGAGAGUAAAGGAUAUAAUUAAAACAACAACAACAAAGUGAUGACGGGAAAGGAAGAGAGAGAAUAUUGGGAAAAACAAAGGCUCAAAAAAGAGCGGCACUUGAGCCUCGAAGGGAUUUAGGAGCUCCAAUAACCAAAGGCUCACCAUCGAAGCUGAGAUCUUCCCCAUCUUUUACCAGGACAGUCACGGCAACGGGUUCUUCACUGAUAGCUGACCCCCAGUCUCUCCCUUCUCCCAUUCUCCCUCCACCUAGAUUUGAACUGAUAUUAUGAAACACAGACAGGUUUUUAGGUGUGAUCAUAUCCACUCAGUAAACUCCAGUUUCU